GAAAGGCGGAGAGACAAUCUCGAAAGAUGAAAGCUUUGAGGUCUUUGGGUAAUUGAGAGUAACCAAGAUCUAUAAUGGAGCUCAGUUCAUUGCAAGCAAAUGGGUAGAGAUGAUUAUUCGAGAGGGCUUCUGCUACCUUUAGAUUUUGGUAUCUCUUCGUAUAUUUUUCUUGAAUCAUCGUCUGGGGUUUGCUUUGAUCAUCUAUCCCAGGUUUCAUGUUUUGCGCAAUUAUUGUUCUCUUUUCUGCAGGCCUGGGAAUUUAAUCGAAGCCCGCCGGGCCCGCCCCAUUUGACCCGCCACGGGGGUGGGGAUCGAGCGUUUUGAAAAAAUCAAGUCGCGGGUGCGAG
Molecule: long non-coding RNA, 347 nt
Filed under: Brassica rapa (field mustard)
Lineage: Eukaryota; Viridiplantae; Streptophyta; Magnoliopsida; Brassicales; Brassicaceae
Description: long non-coding RNA (BRAP_LNC007743)
Source: RNAcentral